This is a long non-coding RNA of Astyanax mexicanus (Mexican tetra), 501 nucleotides long. RefSeq lists it as uncharacterized. The transcript has 4 exons. The record is from RefSeq and is a predicted model, not a curated record. NCBI's taxonomy places the organism in Eukaryota, Metazoa, Chordata, Actinopteri, Characiformes, Acestrorhamphidae.
GACACAGUUACAGCUUUACCUUGGACUCUGAAAGCAGUGGUCAGUACUACUGUGAGGUUCAGGAUGAACACGGAUCUAAAAUAUCAGAAGCAGUGCUGCUUAGUUUCAAAGGGAAUCCAAGUUUCACUCUUUACGUGAUUGUUGGAGUUGUGAUUGGGUGUGUAGGGUUGGUCCUUGCUCUUGUCAUUUUAUUUAUAUGGAGAAAGAGAAGAGGUCCUGUAGCAGAACAAUCCAAACCAAAGUGGGAAAACAUCUACAGCAGUGUUGCAGUGGAUGAUACUACAAAUGACCCACCACCAGAUGCAGCCAAUCAAGACGAUGGUUUUUAUGCUAGAGUACAACUCCCCAGACCAAAGAAACCCACGACCAAAGAGCGCUCUGCAGUUUCCCACGAGGAGGUUCAGUACAGUACCAUCCAGCCCCAUGGUCAAGAGGUGAGGAAGACUGGAGAAGAUGAUGUACAGUAUGCUAGUGUCAGCUUUCCCCGUACUGUUCCGUCCC